RNAcentral lists this ribosomal RNA (1546 nucleotides) under Salmonella enterica. Its description in RNAcentral is "partial 23S ribosomal RNA". It matches the Rfam family "Bacterial large subunit ribosomal RNA", at positions 1413 to 2925 of the family's 2925-position model. The record is from RNAcentral. Lineage: Bacteria; Pseudomonadati; Pseudomonadota; Gammaproteobacteria; Enterobacterales; Enterobacteriaceae.
AGUCGAUGGGAAACGGGUUAAUAUUCCCGUACUUGGUGUUACUGCGAAGGGGGGACGGAGAAGGCUAUGUUGGCCGGGCGACGGUUGUCCCGGUUUAAGCGUGUAGGUAUGUGUUCCAGGUAAAUCCGGUUCACUUUAACACUGAGGCGUGACGACGAGGCACUACGGUGCUGAAGCAACAAAUGCCCUGCUUCCAGGAAAAGCCUCUAAGCAUCAGGUAACAUCAAAUCGUACCCCAAACCGACACAGGUGGUCAGGUAGAGAAUACCAAGGCGCUUGAGAGAACUCGGGUGAAGGAACUAGGCAAAAUGGUGCCGUAACUUCGGGAGAAGGCACGCUGACACGUAGGUGAAGUGAUUUACUCACGGAGCUGAAGUCAGCCGAAGAUACCAGCUGGCUGCAACUGUUUAUUAAAAACACAGCACUGUGCAAACACGAAAGUGGACGUAUACGGUGUGACGCCUGCCCGGUGCCGGAAGGUUAAUUGAUGGGGUCAGCGCAAGCGAAGCUCCUGAUCGAAGCCCCGGUAAACGGCGGCCGUAACUAUAACGGUCCUAAGGUAGCGAAAUUCCUUGUCGGGUAAGUUCCGACCUGCACGAAUGGCGUAAUGAUGGCCAGGCUGUCUCCACCCGAGACUCAGUGAAAUUGAACUCGCUGUGAAGAUGCAGUGUACCCGCGGCAAGACGGAAAGACCCCGUGAACCUUUACUAUAGCUUGACACUGAACAUUGAGCCUUGAUGUGUAGGAUAGGUGGGAGGCUUUGAAGUGUGGACGCCAGUCUGCAUGGAGCCGACCUUGAAAUACCACCCUUUAAUGUUUGAUGUUCUAACGUGGACCCGUGAUCCGGGUUGCGGACAGUGUCUGGUGGGUAGUUUGACUGGGGCGGUCUCCUCCUAAAGAGUAACGGAGGAGCACGAAGGUUGGCUAAUCCUGGUCGGACAUCAGGAGGUUAGUGCAAUGGCAUAAGCCAGCUUGACUGCGAGCGUGACGGCGCGAGCAGGUGCGAAAGCAGGUCAUAGUGAUCCGGUGGUUCUGAAUGGAAGGGCCAUCGCUCAACGGAUAAAAGGUACUCCGGGGAUAACAGGCUGAUACCGCCCAAGAGUUCAUAUCGACGGCGGUGUUUGGCACCUCGAUGUCGGCUCAUCACAUCCUGGGGCUGAAGUAGGUCCCAAGGGUAUGGCUGUUCGCCAUUUAAAGUGGUACGCGAGCUGGGUUUAGAACGUCGUGAGACAGUUCGGUCCCUAUCUGCCGUGGGCGCUGGAGAACUGAGGGGGGCUGCUCCUAGUACGAGAGGACCGGAGUGGACGCAUCACUGGUGUUCGGGUUGUCAUGCCAAUGGCACUGCCCGGUAGCUAAAUGCGGAAGAGAUAAGUGCUGAAAGCAUCUAAGCACGAAACUUGCCCCGAGAUGAGUUCUCCCUGAGACUUUAGGUCUCCUGAAGGAACGUUGAAGACGACGACGUUGAUAGGCCGGGUGUGUAAGCGCAGCGAUGCGUUGAGCUAACCGGUACUAAUGAACCGUGAGGCUUAACCUUACAACGCCGAAG